This 305-nucleotide ribosomal RNA is filed under the name uncultured bacterium. RNAcentral's name for it is "bacterial SSU rRNA". It matches the Rfam family "Bacterial small subunit ribosomal RNA", at positions 335 to 655 of the family's 1533-position model. The record is from RNAcentral.
GUGCCUACGGGGGGCAGCAGUAGGGAAUAUUGCUCAAUGGGGGAAACCCUGAAGCAGCAACGCCGCGUGGAGGAUGAAGGUUUUCGGGUUGUAAACUUCUUUUAAGAGGGAAGAGUAGAAGACGGUACCUCUUGAAUAAGCCACGGCUAACUACGUGCCAGCAGCCGCGGUAAUACGUAGGUGGCAAGCGUUGUCCGGAUUUACUGGGUGUAAAGGGCGUGUAGCCGGGCCGGCAAGUCAGAUGUGAAAUCCCAAGGCUCAACCUUGGAACUGCAUUUGAAACUGUUGGUCUUGAGUAUCGGAGG